Molecule: long non-coding RNA, 1315 nt
Filed under: Parus major (Great Tit)
Lineage: Eukaryota; Metazoa; Chordata; Aves; Passeriformes; Paridae
Description: lncRNA (ENSPMJG00000004534.1)
Source: RNAcentral
AGGUCACUAGGAGCACUGGGAGCACUGGAAUUAUACUGGGAGCACUGGGAUCAUACUGGGAUGAUACUGGGACAUUACUGGGAGCACUGGGAGGUCACUGGGAGGUUACUGGGAGCACUGGGAGGUCACUGGGAGGUCACUGGGAGGUCACUGGGAGCACUGGGAGCACUGGGAUGAUACUGGGACAUUACUGGGAUCAUACUGGGAGGUCACUGGGACGUUACUGGGAGCACUGGGAGGUCACUGGGACGUUACUGGGAGGUUACUGGGAGCACUGGGCCGAUGCCCCCUCCCCUCCCCCCAGACCGGCCGGACCCCCCCCUCUCCCUGCGGCUCUCGGGGGCCUCCGAGACCUCCCUGAGCCUCUCGUGGGAGCCCGGCUUCGAUGGCGGCCUGGCCCAGCACUUCCUGCUCCGCGCUGAAGGCCCGGACGCCCCUCCCCCACCCGCCGCUUUCAUCACUUCCGGUUUUGCCCUGACGCUGGGCGGGCUCCGCCCGGCCACGCCCUAUGACGUCAUCGUGCGCGCCCGCAACGCCCGCGGCGACAGCGACCCCGCCCGGCUGCGCGCCGUCACUUCCGGUGAGUGGGCGUGGCCCGGAAAGUUACGUCAGAGAGGUGUGGAUGGAAACAAGAUGGCGGCCGGAAGCGGAUGUUGAGGGGCGGAGCCGGAAGUGAGGGCGGGGAAACCGGAAGUGAGGUGGGGACAAACAGGAAGUGGCCGCGUUUGGCGGGAAAACCGGAACAGGAAGUUGAAGCAGGGGAAAAAACCGGAUGUGACGGUUGGGGGGUGGGCGUGGCCGGAAACGCGAGGCAGGAUGGGAUGAGAGCAGGAAGUAAACCGGAAGUGGCUGCAAAAACACCGGAAGUGGCUCCAAACCACCGGAAGUUGUUUCAAAACCACCGGAAGUGGUUGCAAACUACCGGAAGGUGCUGCUAACCACCGGAAGUGGUUGUACAUUUACCGGAAGUGGUUUCAAAACUACCGGAAGUGGCUGCAAACCACCGGAAGUGGUUUCAAAGCCGCCGGAAGUGGCUGCAAACCACCGGGAGUGGUUGCAAACAACCGGAAGUGGCGGCAAAACCACCGGAAGUGGUUGUAAACCCACCGGAAGUGUCUCCAAACCCACCGGAAGUGACGUUUCUCGCCCCUCCCAGACCCGCCCGAAGCCCCGCCCCCUCUGUGGGAGGAGCCAGGGGAGGAGGCGGCCCCUGGAGGGGGGGAGGGGACGGCCCCUCCCCCACCCGGCCUGGUCGGGGCUCUGAGCGCGCUCGGGGGGCUCCUCCUGCCUGGCCUGGGGGGGGCGCUCUGCUACU